GACCUCGUAGCUCAGCUGGUAGAGCGUGCGCGUACAAUGCGUGGGGGCCUCGAUGCGUGGGUUCGAAUCCCACCGAGGCUA
This 81-nucleotide transfer RNA is filed under the name Echinostoma caproni. It matches the Rfam family "tRNA". Rfam says of the family: Transfer RNA (tRNA) molecules are approximately 80 nucleotides in length. Their secondary structure includes four short double-helical elements and three loops (D, anti-codon, and T loops). Lineage: Eukaryota; Metazoa; Platyhelminthes; Trematoda; Plagiorchiida; Echinostomatidae. The record is from Rfam by way of RNAcentral.